GCCCGCUCAGAAACUCAAAUGAAGUUGACGGGGCCCGCCACAAGCGGAGGAGCAUGUGGUUUAAUUUCGAUGAUACGCGAGGAACUUACCUGGGCUCGAACGUAAGAUGACUGUAGGUGAAAGCUUACAUCUCUUCGGAGCAUUUUACGAGGUGCUGCAUGGUUGUCGUCAGCUCGUGCCGUGAGGUGUCGGGUUAAGUCCCAUAACGAGCGCAACCCCUACCUUUAGUUGCCAUCAGGUAAUGCUGGGGACUCUAAAGGAACUGCCUACGCAAGUAGUGAGGAAGGCGGGGAUGACGUCAAAUCAGCACGGCCCUUACGUCCAGGGCUACACACGUGCUACAAUGGCCGAUACAGAGGGCAGCUACCUGGUGACAGGAUGCAAAUCUCCAAAGUCGGUCUCAGUUCGGAUCGGAGUCUGCAACCCGACUCCGUGAAGUUGGAUUCGCUAGUAAUCGCGCAUCAGCCAUGGCGCGGUGAAUACGUUCCCGGGCCUU
RNAcentral lists this ribosomal RNA (496 nucleotides) under uncultured Sphingobacteriales bacterium. RNAcentral describes it as "bacterial SSU rRNA". It matches the Rfam family "Bacterial small subunit ribosomal RNA", at positions 887 to 1382 of the family's 1533-position model. Lineage: Bacteria; Pseudomonadati; Bacteroidota; Sphingobacteriia; Sphingobacteriales. The record is from RNAcentral.